AGUCGAGCGAACUGAUUAGAAGCUUGCUUCUAUGACGUUAGCGGCGGACGGGUGAGUAACACGUGGGCAACCUGCCUGUAAGACUGGGAUAACUUCGGGAAACCGAAGCUAAUACCGGAUAGGAUCUUCUCCUUCAUGGGAGAUGAUUGAAAGAUGGUUUCGGCUAUCACUUACAGAUGGGCCCGCGGUGCAUUAGCUAGUUGGUGAGGUAACGGCUCACCAAGGCAACGAUGCAUAGCCGACCUGAGAGGGUGAUCGGCCACACUGGGACUGAGACACGGCCCAGACUCCUACGGGAGGCAGCAGUAGGGAAUCUUCCGCAAUGGACGAAAGUCUGACGGAGCAACGCCGCGUGAGUGAUGAAGGCUUUCGGGUCGUAAAACUCUGUUGUUAGGGAAGAACAAGUACAAGAGUAACUGCUUGUACCUUGACGGUACCUAACCAGAAAGCCACGGCUAACUACGUGCCAGCAGCCGCGGUAAUACGUAGGUGGCAAGCGUUAUCCGGAAUUAUUGGGCGUAA
This 522-nucleotide ribosomal RNA is filed under the name Priestia megaterium. Its description in RNAcentral is "bacterial SSU rRNA". It matches the Rfam family "Bacterial small subunit ribosomal RNA", at positions 60 to 563 of the family's 1533-position model. The record is from RNAcentral. Lineage: Bacteria; Bacillati; Bacillota; Bacilli; Caryophanales; Bacillaceae.